UACGGAGGAUGCGAGCGUUAUCCGGAUUUAUUGGGUUUAAAGGGUGCGUAGGCGGGAUGCCAAGUCAGCGGUAAAAAUGCGGUGCUCAACGCCGUCGAGCCGUUGAAACUGGCGUUCUUGAGUGGGCGAGAAGAAGGCGGAAUGCGUGGUGUAGCGGUGAAAUGCAUAGAUAUCACGCAGAACCCCGAUUGCGAAGGCAGCCUUCCGGCGCCCUACUGACGCUGAGGCACGAAAGUGCGGGGAUCGAACAGG
RNAcentral lists this ribosomal RNA (252 nucleotides) under uncultured bacterium. Its description in RNAcentral is "partial 16S ribosomal RNA". It matches the Rfam family "Bacterial small subunit ribosomal RNA", at positions 524 to 776 of the family's 1533-position model. The record is from RNAcentral.